GCCACAGCACCAGAAAGAUUCCUAGUCCUCCACUCCUCCUCCACUUGAGAGUGCCCCACGCAGCCCACUGCUGGGCAGAGGCCGCGCGCGGCGCCAGCGCCACCACCCCUUUCUCUUCUCCCCUCUCCCGUCACAUCCUCCACCCAAUGUGGCAUAUAAAUCCCAGAUCCAGAUCUCCCACCUCCCUCUUGUUUGUAUAGCCAGGCAGCCAGCCUCACCAUGUGAUCUCUCGCAGGUGUUUCUUGUGUUGUUCCAUCCUUAUUUUGCAUUGAUGUCAAGGUUUUUUUUUUUUUGUCAGACCCAUCUACGGGUGGUGUCUGGGCGCAGUGGUUUAUCGAUCUCUUCCUUGCCUUGUGCUGGUCCGGCCGGGAGUGGUGGUUCAAGCGUUUUAUUGUUGCAGCAGCUCGCAAACAACGCGGGAAUCGGUCGAUAAACCUCUGCAUCCAGCUCUCACUGCGGUUAAGGGCAUGAGCUAGGCAGCAGUGACUGACUGACUGCUGCUUCUUCUUUGCGUUCUGGGUUCCUGCUCCUUCUGAGUUUAUUAUGUCUAGUGUCUCCAAGUUAUGCUUGAUAUUACUCUGCGCGUGAUUUGACCAUCGAAAUACCGUCGUCUUUGUCUUCAUGUACCCUGGCGUUUGCUUGGUCCACGUAUUCUUUUAUUAUACAGUCGAUGCUUACACAGUAACCAUAAAUUAGAUAUCUAGCGUCGCUUUAUGUUUUCUUAUUGUUAAUGGCAUCUUAAUAUUUUGUGGUUCUGAUUAGAUGAUGCUUGCGUAUUUUGGGGGGUAUAGCUAGAGGUAUCUUGGGUAGUGGGGAUAAGUUCCUUCUUCCUUGCUCCAGAAAUUAUGGUUUUGAUUGGAAUUAGGGGGUGGACGCCUAGCGGAUCUUGCUUGCUGCCGUCAUGCCCUUCGAAUAGAUUCCAGUUUGUUGUGGCGGUGAGUCACAUUCAGGACAUGUCUUUUUGUGCUCAGUGUUGGGUGUGUCCUUUACAGCUGGUCGUUAGUGAAUGGACUGGUCUAAACCCAACUAUCUAUCUCUUUAAAUAGGCCCUUGAUUGGGAGGGCCCACGAUAACCUCGUUUGGAGCCCCAGUCACACGACACUAUAAAUAUAGGACUAAGGGGUCGCAGGAAAAACUAACUCUAGUACCUCGCCCCAAAACCUUAGUCCCCAGAGGCCCCCAUCGUCUAGGCGUCGUAGUGUCUGGAAACGCGACAACCUACAGCGGCUCGGAUCCCGAUGCCAGCUGCUUCUCUGCAGGGCAACGGUAUGAAGAUAGCAACAACAACAAAGAGGUGUGUUUGCUCAUUCCUCUCAGUAGAUCAGAUCUACUCGUCAUCGAGGUUUUACUUUCAGUUACGAAUUAGUAUUCUAGAAACUUAGUAAUCGAUCCUAGGCAGUAUAGAUUCUAACACUCAGGAGUAUACCAGCAUACUGAGCAGCUAUGUCUUUUUCUGUUAUAUGCUGAAAAUUGGGUUAGCAGCCAUCUUUGGGUUCAACAAUAUUCAAGAGUCUUAUUGCGGGCAGCCAAACGCAGUCUUUAUUCGAAUAACUGGUGGUCAUUGCAUUGCGCUGCCAUUUCAUUCCUUUUUAUUUAAUCUGGCAUCAUAGUUUUUGUAGUUUUGUGGUUUGUUCUCUGUUUAAGUGAGAGCUAAUUUGAGAGCAAGUGAAUUGUAGGAUUGAAGGGAUUAAAAUCAUCUUCCUAUUCAAAAUUAAAUAGAAAGAGGAUUUUAGCCCCUCGUUUCCUUCCAAUUUUCUUGCUCCUAAACUUGUCUUAAGGGCUUGUUUGGGAGUAAGGAUAAUGGAAAGGGCUUGUUUGGGAGUAAGGAUAAUGGAGGAGAUUGAGGGGAUAUAAUACCUCACUAUUCAUUUUUAAAUAUUGAGGGAUUUUAGCCACCUCUAUUCCACUUGCUUCCAAACAUGUCCUAAAAGAUUAUGUAUUACUCUCCCGGACGAGUUUUUUAUGCAUAAUUUUGUAUUGUUUACACCACAGUUAGAAUCUUCAGAGUAAUUGCUAUUCUUAUUGAUGUGCAUAGCGCCACAAGGCUUCUGUUUGCUGCCAGAAUAUGUGUGAUCGAGUAGGGCAGUAGGCAAACAUGUCCAUACAAAAUGUGUUAUUAUAGGACAUGCUGAUUUCCAAAGACAUGUUACGACUUCGUUUGGCUUUAAUACAUACUGGCUUCUACUGCUUCUAUAAUAUAGUCCGAAUAACUAGCUUUAAUCCGAAGCGGACAAUUAAUUUAUGUUAUGGCUUGACAUUCGUGGUGCAUGGAAUAACGGAGUAAGAACUUUGAGGAGACACAAGAUGGUCUCAAAAACUGUAACUCAAGAUCUUUUUAUCUCUUAGACGUAUUUCCUUUUCAACCAAGAUAAUUUAUUUGCAGACCCCUUUCAACCUUGUUUGGAUAUUCUUGUAUUCACCCUAAUCUAUAUGUAUUGAAGUAGAUUAGGGUGAAUACGAGAGCAUAUGCCUUUGAUGUGACAUUUGAAAUGCCACUCAUUUACCCGUUUCUUUUGCUGUAAACAAUUGCAUAUAUUUGGGUCAGAGACCUUGACCUGGCAAUUAUCAAUUAUUUUAGUUUCUUUUUUUUACGUAUCAAUUAUUCUAAGCUACUGUCAGGUACUACUUUGGUGCAGUUAAAUCUACGGAGGCAAAGAGAAAAGAGGUUCACUUGAGGAAUAGUCUAUAGGAAUAUAUGAAGGCCCUUCUCUGCCUUUGCAAUUAACCUUACUUAUCUUGUGUACAUUUGUAAUUAUGAGAUAUAAGCAGCAGAUUACUUC
Molecule: long non-coding RNA, 2780 nt
Organism: Zea mays
Lineage: Eukaryota; Viridiplantae; Streptophyta; Magnoliopsida; Poales; Poaceae
Product: MIR162HG
Exons: 1
Source: RefSeq, marked validated